GUAGACUCUGUCGUACUUCACCUGCUCCCUGAGACCCUAACUUGUGAGCUCUCUUGAUAAAAAAUCACGGGUUAGGCUCUUGGGACGCGGGCGGAGGGCACAAUCGAC
MicroRNA precursor from Cyprinodon variegatus (sheepshead minnow), 108 nucleotides. Ensembl annotates it as microRNA 125b-3. Its record names the gene mir125b-3. The record is from Ensembl. Lineage: Eukaryota; Metazoa; Chordata; Actinopteri; Cyprinodontiformes; Cyprinodontidae.